GACGAACGCUGGCGGCGUGCUUAACACAUGCAAGUCGAACGUGAUUUUUGUGUAAAUUCUUUCGGGAAUGGAAAUGAAAUGAAAGUGGCGAACGGGUGAGUAACACGUGAGCAACCUACCUUACACAGGGGGAUAGCCGUUGGAAACGACGAUUAAUACCGCAUGAGACCACAGAAUCGCAUGAUAUAGGGGUCAAAGAUUUAUCGGUGUAAGAAGGGCUCGCGUCUGAUUAGCUAGUUGGAAGGGUAAAGGCCUACCAAGGCGACGAUCAGUAGCCGGUCUGAGAGGAUGAACGGCCACAUUGGAACUGAGACACGGUCCAAACUCCUACGGGAGGCAGCAGUGGGGAAUAUUGCACAAUGGGGGGAACCCUGAUGCAGCGACGCCGCGUGAGCGAAGAAGGUUUUCGAAUCGUAAAGCUCUGUCCUAUGAGAAGAUAAUGACGGUAUCAUAGGAGGAAGCCCCGGCUAAAUACGUG
RNAcentral lists this ribosomal RNA (478 nucleotides) under uncultured bacterium. RNAcentral's name for it is "partial 16S ribosomal RNA". It matches the Rfam family "Bacterial small subunit ribosomal RNA", at positions 28 to 507 of the family's 1533-position model. The record is from RNAcentral.